RNAcentral lists this long non-coding RNA (924 nucleotides) under Homo sapiens (human). Its description in RNAcentral is "HSALNT0292949". The record is from RNAcentral. Lineage: Eukaryota; Metazoa; Chordata; Mammalia; Primates; Hominidae.
ACAGGCAUACGCCACCGCACCUGGCCCAAAUUAUUAAUUGUACGUAUUCUCAUUGUUCUGCUUCUUCCAAGAAAACUGAAGUCACGGUAUUCUGAAGACUAGAGAUGAUUCAACAGGCUGUGAAUCUAUUCCAUUUGGAAUCCUACUGGGCCUGAUCUGUUUUCCAUUGCCAAGGCACUGCUGUUUAAGCUAUACCAUAUGAAGCACCCUCCCUAAAGGCUCAGGGGCCAUAGUGAAAGAGGACACAUGGGAUUGUAAGAGCCAGAUUAUGGGGGUGGAGGGUAAAGGCUGAAGCAAGUCCAUCUUGGAUGCUAACUCACUAUGUUAGCUUCUGAUUAACCCCAGUUCCAGGAAGGCUGCUGAAAUUUCCAGUUUAUGUGUUGUUCCUUGUGUAAGAGCAUGGACUUACUGCAAAUCCUGCCCUUAGGGCAAAUUCCUACCUAUUCCUGCGGAAGCAUGUGUAUCAUUCCCCUAUGGUUUAUAACCCCUGAGUCUGGGGGUAAUGGCACGGGGACCCACCAGCUUGUCUGCCGCCAUCUGGGGCUGGAGUGCAAUGGCAUGAUCUCAGCUCACUGCAACCUCUGCCUCCCGGGUUCAAGCAAUUCUCCUGUCUCAGCCUCCUGAGUAGCUGGAUUACAGAGUCUUUUCUAAGGCACCAACUACUUCCUUCAAGCAGCAGCCAGAGAUCUUUGCUUAAUGGCUGAGAAACACAGAGGAGAGACCCAGAGAGAAGGAGAAGGCCGCAUGAAGAUGGAGCAGAGACUGGAGUUAUUCAGCCAAGUCAAGGAAUGCCUGGAGCACCAGAAGCCGGAAGAGGCAAGGAAGGAUCCUCCCUUAGAGCAUUUGGAAGAGUGUGGCCCUGCCAACACCUUGACUUCAAACUUCUGGCCUCCAUAACUAUGAAAUAAAUUCUUGUUGUUUUAA